This 224-nucleotide non-coding RNA is filed under the name chicken gut metagenome. The record is from RNAcentral.
ACCUGGUAAUCUCUAGCAAAGAGCCAGUAGUUAGCCUUGGAGCCGAAAUCGUGAGACUAGGUUUAAGUGUAGGUAAACAAGAAUUCGAGCUGUAAUGCGAAAGCGUGAAGUUAUUGAGCCUCGUUAAAGAAGAAAUAAAUAGAUGCAGAUGUGGUCACCUACACAGCAUGCAACAUCGGUAAUAUCGUUAGAGCGAGAUGUUAUGAGAAAUCUAUCGGGGUCUU